Molecule: unclassified non-coding RNA, 329 nt
Filed under: soil metagenome
Description: partial contains 5.8S ribosomal RNA, internal transcribed spacer 2, and large subunit ribosomal RNA
Rfam family: 5.8S ribosomal RNA (bases 1-120)
Source: RNAcentral
GAUGAAGAACGUAGCGAAAUGCGAUAAGUAAUGUGAAUUGCAGAAUUCAGUGAAUCAUCGAAUCUUUGAACGCACAUUGCGCCCCCUGGUAUUCCGGGGGGCAUGCCUGUCCAAGCGUCAUUACAACCCUCAAGCUCAGCUUGGUAUUGGGCCCCGCCGACCCGGCGGGCCCUAAAGUCAGUGGCGGUGCCGUCCGGCUCCGAGCGUAGUAAUUCUUCUCGCUCUGGAGGUCCGGUCGUGUGCUCGCCAGCAACCCCCAAUUUUUUUCAGGUUGACCUCGGAUCAGGUAGGGAUACCCGCUGAACUUAAGCAUAUCAAUAAGCGGAGGA